Molecule: ribosomal RNA, 450 nt
Filed under: uncultured Glomeromycotina
Lineage: Eukaryota; Fungi; Glomeromycota
Description: SSU rRNA
Rfam family: Eukaryotic small subunit ribosomal RNA
Source: RNAcentral
AGCAGCCGCGGUAAUUCCAGCUCCAAUAGCGUAUAUUAAAGUUGUUGCAGUUAAAAAAGCUCGUAGUUGAAUUUCGGGGUUAGUAGGUUGGUCAUGCCUCUGGUAUGUACUGGUCUCACUGAUUCCUCCUUCCUGAUGAGCCUUAAUGCCAUUAAUUUGGUGUUUUGGGGAAUUUGGACUGUUACUUUGAAAAAAUUAGAGUGUUUAAAGCAAGCUAACGCUUGAAUACAUUAGCAUGGAAUAAUGAAAUAGGACGUUCGAUCCUAUUUUGUUGGUUUCUAGGAUUGACGUAAUGAUUAAUAGGGAUAGUUGGGGGGCAUUAGUAUUCAAUUGUCAGAGGUGAAAUUCUUGGAUUUAUUGAAGACUAACUACUGCGAAAGCAUUUGCCAAGGAUGUUUUCAUUAAUCAAGAACGAAAGUUAGGGGAUCGAAGACGAUCAGAUACCGUCGU